UAGCCUUGACAUUGAUUGAACACACUAGAGAUAGAGUGGUGCCCUUCGGGGAACAUGAAAACAGGUGCUGCACGGCUGUCGUCAGCUCGUGUCGUGAGAUGUUGGGUUAAGUCCCGCAACGAGCGCAACCCUCGUCCUUAGUUACUAACGGUUUGGCCGAGGACUCUAAGGAGACUGCCUUCGUAAGGAGGAGGAAGGUGAGGACGACGUCAAGUCAUCAUGGCCCUUAUGGCUAGGGCUACACACGUGCUACAAUGGGGCGUACAGAGUGUUGCGAUACCGCGAGGUGGAGCUAAUCACUUAAAGCGUCUCUCAGUUCGGAUUGGAGUCUGCAACUCGACUCCAUGAAGCUGGAAUCACUAGUAAUCGUAGAUCAGCAAUGCUACGGUGAAUACGUUCCCGGGUCU
Molecule: ribosomal RNA, 407 nt
Filed under: uncultured bacterium
Lineage: Bacteria
Description: bacterial SSU rRNA
Rfam family: Bacterial small subunit ribosomal RNA
Source: RNAcentral